GUGCCAGCCGCCGCGGUAAUACGGAGGGUGCAAGCGUUAAUCGGAAUCACUGGGCGUAAAGCGCGCGUAGGCCGCCUUCUAAGUCGGACGUGAAAGCCCUCGGCUCAACCGAGGAACUGCGUUCGAAACUGGGAGGCUUGAGUCCUGGAGAGGGUGGCGGGAUUCCGGGAGUAGGAGUGAAAUCCGUAGAUAUCCGGAGGAACACCGGUGGAGAAGGCGGCCACCUGGAGAGGUAAUGACGCUGAGGCG
Molecule: ribosomal RNA, 249 nt
Filed under: uncultured bacterium
Lineage: Bacteria
Description: partial 16S rRNA
Rfam family: Bacterial small subunit ribosomal RNA
Source: RNAcentral